AGGACGAACGCUGGCGGCGUGCUUAACACAUGCAAGUCGAGCGGAAAGGCCUUUCGGGGUACUCGAGCGGCGAACGGGUGAGUAACACGUGAGUAAUCUGCCCAUCGCUUCAGGAUAGCCAUCGGAAACGGUGAUUAAUACUGGAUAUGACAUUCCUUCGCAUGUUGGGGUGUGGAAGUUUUUUCGGCGGUGGAUGUGCUCGCGGCCUAUCAGCUUGUUGGUGGGUAAUGGCCUACCAAGGCUUUGACGGGUAGCCGGCCUGAGGAGGGUCGACCGGCCACACGUGGGACUGAGACACGGCCCAGACUCCGUACGGGAGGCAGCAGGUGGGAAUAGUUGGGACAAGUGGGCGGAAGCCGUAGGACUACCAGCCAACGGCCGCGUGGACGGAUCGGACGGCCGUUACGGUUACGUUAAACCUUC
Molecule: ribosomal RNA, 423 nt
Filed under: uncultured soil bacterium
Lineage: Bacteria
Description: bacterial SSU rRNA
Rfam family: Bacterial small subunit ribosomal RNA
Source: RNAcentral